RNAcentral lists this ribosomal RNA (564 nucleotides) under Escherichia coli. RNAcentral describes it as "partial 23S ribosomal RNA". It matches the Rfam family "Bacterial large subunit ribosomal RNA", at positions 375 to 944 of the family's 2925-position model. The record is from RNAcentral. Lineage: Bacteria; Pseudomonadati; Pseudomonadota; Gammaproteobacteria; Enterobacterales; Enterobacteriaceae.
GUACACAAAAAUGCACAUAUUGUGAGCUCGAUGAGUAGGGCGGGACACGUGGUAUCCUGUCUGAAUAUGGGGGGACCAUCCUCCAAGGCUAAAUACUCCUGACUGACCGAUAGUGAACCAGUACCGUGAGGGAAAGGCGAAAAGAACCCCGGCGAGGGGAGUGAAAAAGAACCUGAAACCGUGUACGUACAAGCAGUGGGAGCCUCUUUAUGGGGUGACUGCGUACCUUUUGUAUAAUGGGUCAGCGACUUAUAUUCUGUAGCAAGGUUAACCGAAUAGGGGAGCCGAAGGGAAACCGAGUCUUAACUGGGCGUUAAGUUGCAGGGUAUAGACCCGAAACCCGGUGAUCUAGCCAUGGGCAGGUUGAAGGUUGGGUAACACUAACUGGAGGACCGAACCGACUAAUGUUGAAAAAUUAGCGGAUGACUUGUGGCUGGGGGUGAAAGGCCAAUCAAACCGGGAGAUAGCUGGUUCUCCCCGAAAGCUAUUUAGGUAGCGCCUCGUGAAUUCAUCUCCGGGGGUAGAGCACUGUUUCGGCAAGGGGGUCAUCCCGACUUACCAACC